UAGGGAAUCUUCCACAAUGGGCGAAAGCCUGAUGGAGCAACGCCGCGUGUGUGAUGAAGGGUUUCGGCUCGUAAAACACUGUUGUAAGAGAAGAAUGACAUUGAGAGUAACUGUUCAAUGUGUGACGGUAUCUUACCAGAAAGGAACGGCUAAAUACGUACCACG
Molecule: ribosomal RNA, 165 nt
Filed under: uncultured bacterium
Lineage: Bacteria
Description: partial 16S ribosomal RNA
Rfam family: Bacterial small subunit ribosomal RNA
Source: RNAcentral